Molecule: ribosomal RNA, 251 nt
Filed under: uncultured bacterium
Lineage: Bacteria
Description: partial 16S ribosomal RNA
Rfam family: Bacterial small subunit ribosomal RNA
Source: RNAcentral
ACGUAGGGGGCAAGCGUUAUCCGGAUUUACUGGGUGUAAAGGGAGCGUAGGUGGCAAGGCAAGUCAGAUGUGAAAACCCGGGGCUCAACCCCGGGACUGCAUUUGAAACUGUCUAGCUAGAGUGCAGGAGAGGUAAGUGGAAUUCCUAGUGUAGCGGUGAAAUGCAUAGAUAUUAGGAGGAACACCAGUGGCGAAGGCGGCUUACUGGACUGUAACUGACACUGAGGCUCGAAAGCGUGGGGAGCAAACAG